CUAGAUUUGGAAAUCUCUGUCUAUGUGUAUGAAAGGAGGGAAGCAGCUAUAAAUUAGAAGGGAGAUAAGAAAGUGAAGAUAUUUACUAGACUCUGCCUUUGCUUGCAGUUCUCUGGCUUGAUUGAGGAGGUUCUCACUUUCAUCUUUAUGGGACUUUGGCUAAAAAAAAUAAACUGUCAAAGGAACUGGCAUUUGCUGACUGGACUACAGCACAUCUCGAAGAAUCUGCAGACUGAAACCUUCAAGGCAUUCAUGAAAUGGUCUUUCCUUAGUUCCCCUGCCCUUUCCACUCUUUCUGCCAUUUGGAUUUCACACUGGAAGUUCAAGAGAUGACAUCAGAAAACAGAAAAGCCAGUGGGAAAGGCAAGGAGAUUUGGAAGAGUGUUUGAAAAUUUUGGCAAUCAAGAAUAAGAAGAAAGCAGGAAGCCAAGUCACCAGGCAGAACUGAUAGCAUGGGAAGUGGGUUCCCACCAGUCGCAUGCAGCUGCUCUGGUAUGGCCAUGGUGCUGGGGAUGAGUCAGAAAUCUCAGUCUUUUCUGGCUUAAAGAAAAGGAAGAAUGGAACCCAUCUUCUCCAGAUAUGUUGUUAUGGGGUAAGUGUAGGUCUAGAGACAGAAAAGAAUCACAUUUGAACAUCCUCUUAAUGCAAGAACAUUUUUAAAGAAUCAAUUUCCCCUGAAUAUCCAUCAAGCCUAAUACAGUGUGACUAUCUGAGAUCAAUUAUUUUAUCUUUACAAAGACUGGGAGUUAUACAGCAAAAGCAAUACUGUAAAAUAUGUGUAUUAAAAUAUGUAAAAGAAGGGAGUUG
Molecule: non-coding RNA, 807 nt
Filed under: Pan troglodytes (chimpanzee)
Lineage: Eukaryota; Metazoa; Chordata; Mammalia; Primates; Hominidae
Source: RNAcentral